Molecule: ribosomal RNA, 253 nt
Filed under: uncultured bacterium
Lineage: Bacteria
Description: partial 16S ribosomal RNA
Rfam family: Bacterial small subunit ribosomal RNA
Source: RNAcentral
UACGGAGGGUGCAAGCGUUAUCCGGAUUUACUGGGUUUAAAGGGUGCGUAGGUGGGUCUGUAAGUCAGUGGUGAAAUCUCCGGGCUUAACUCGGAAACUGCCAUUGAUACUAUAGGUCUUGAAUUAUCUGGAGGUGAGCGGAAUAUGUCAUGUAGCGGUGAAAUGCUUAGAUAUGACAUAGAACACCAAUUGCGAAGGCAGCUCACUACGGAUAUAUUGACACUGAGGCACGAAAGCGUGGGGAUCAAACAGG